GCGGGUGUAGCUCAGUUGGCUAGAGCGCGAGCUUCCCAAGCUUGAGGUCGAGGGUUCGAGCCCCUUCACCCGCUCCA
RNAcentral lists this transfer RNA (77 nucleotides) under Bdellovibrionales bacterium RIFOXYC1_FULL_54_43. RNAcentral's name for it is "tRNA-Gly". It matches the Rfam family "tRNA". From Rfam's summary of the family: Transfer RNA (tRNA) molecules are approximately 80 nucleotides in length. Their secondary structure includes four short double-helical elements and three loops (D, anti-codon, and T loops). RNAcentral also lists the same sequence under 6 other names. Lineage: Bacteria; Pseudomonadati; Bdellovibrionota; Bdellovibrionia; Bdellovibrionales. The record is from RNAcentral.